RNAcentral lists this non-coding RNA (73 nucleotides) under Rhizobium azibense. Lineage: Bacteria; Pseudomonadati; Pseudomonadota; Alphaproteobacteria; Hyphomicrobiales; Rhizobiaceae. The record is from RNAcentral.
AACCGCCCUGUACGGACCCGUACGCAGGGUGGUGUGGGAGGGGCGGAACCGCAAGGCUCCCCCCUAUCCCGAU